AACGCACCUUGCACCCCUUGGCAUUCCGAGGGGUACACCCGUUUGAGUGUCGUGAAAUUCUCAAACCUUCUUGGUUAUUAUAACCAAGAUGGCUUUGGACUUUGGAGGUCUUUUGCUGGCUUUGCAAAAAGUCGGCUCCUCUUAAAUGCAUUAGUGGGGUCCUCUUUGCCGAUCCUCAGGCGUUGAUAAGAUGUUUCUACGUCUUGGGAUUUGCUCUGAUUGAUGGGAACCCGCUUCUAACCGUCUCACUAUAAGGAGACAUCGUUCGAGUUUUACUCGACCCACGAACCUUGACCUCAAAUCGGGUGAGACUACCCGCUGAACUUAA
RNAcentral lists this ribosomal RNA (328 nucleotides) under uncultured Russula. RNAcentral describes it as "eukaryotic LSU rRNA". The record is from RNAcentral. Lineage: Eukaryota; Fungi; Basidiomycota; Agaricomycetes; Russulales; Russulaceae.